Non-coding RNA from Camellia sinensis, 2579 nucleotides. NCBI's taxonomy places the organism in Eukaryota, Viridiplantae, Streptophyta, Magnoliopsida, Ericales, Theaceae. The record is from RefSeq and is a predicted model, not a curated record.
CGUCUCCUUUCUCUCCCUCUCUCUUUCCGUCAUUUUGUUUUCCGUCUUCAUUUCUCUCUUAUCGUUUUUUUUGUGUCCUAGAUCUAGGUUUUCUGUGUCUCUCCUCAUUCUCUUUGAGAGAUUCACUCGGUUCCAUUUCGAUUACUUGUUCAGAUCUAAUUCUAAAUCCAUUGAUUAUUCUUGAAUCGAUUUGGUUGAAAUUUCUUGACGGUUUUUUGUUUUUCUUGAUUCUGAUUCUGGUAAUUUUGCAGAGGAAGAUAGACCAGUUGGGUGAAGAAUGAUCGGGAUCGAGACAGGGACCGGGACCGAGAUCGGUCGAGUCGGAGCAAGAGGAGGAGAGGAGAUAGGUUGAUUCACGGGAGUAAUAGAGAAGAUGGUGGUGAGGACAGUUCAGAGGAGAGCAUGAAUGAUGACGAUGACGAUGACGAUGGAGUCGCCGCCACCGCCAGCGGUGGUGGUGCGGUGAGGAUGUUGCCGCCUAAUCCAACGGCGUCGAUGGCGACUUCAUUGCUUAACCACCACCCUCAGCAACGGAAGAGCUUUCCUCUGCAACUACAAAAUCGUUCUCACCAUGACCUGGCUGGAAACCAGCUGAUGAAAUGAUAGGCUUUUCUGUUCCCAGAAAACUAGAACAGGUGUGGAUUAGACUGUUCUGUAUCGCCUAUUUUGUAUUGAGAGAUUGGGAAAUUUUGCUAGUCUGUUGUUGUUGUUGUUUUUUUUUUUUUUUUUAACUAUUAUUUUUUAUUUUAUUUUAUAAAUUGGUAUAGCGGUAUAGAGGCAUCUUGAUAAGUGAAUUUAUCAUUCACUAACGGAAUCUUCUUUAACCUGUCAUGAUCACUAAUUUUCUGAACCAUUGGAUUAGUAUGGUUUUUGGACUAAUUUGAUUUAACCUGUGUAUUUAUCCUUUCCAGCAAGGUUUCUCUUCAAUUAAUUGUCAAUGUGUAAAUUUUAAACUCGGCCAUCCUCAUUUCAUGUCUUUUGCUUGUUUCUGCUAUAAAUUUGAGAUCGUUACAAGCUUUGAGGCUUAAUUUGCAGAAGAAGAGCAUGGAAUCUAUGUUAGUUAGUGAAAGGUUUUAUGUGUAUCGGAUCUCUUUUAACCUCCCAUCUGUAGCUUUAUUCCUUGAAAACCCAUGUUUAUUGUUUUGGAUGCAUUAAUUUUUGUCAAAGAAUCUCAAGUUAGUCCAUAAAAGGCUCUUUUUGGUACGUUCAGUUAGUUUAUAAAAGCCUCUUUUGCUUGCUGUCACCACAAUAGUCUUCUUUUGGUACUUCCUUUAACUUUAUAUGAGGCUUCUUUUGUAUUGCUGAGUGGCUGGUUUAGAUUGCUAACUGAGGAUUUAUUUUUCUUUUCCAAGAAUCAAUUGAAUGUUCUUUUUGAUGUUGCUAAUAUAUUGUCUUUUCUUGGCAUGAUUUUCAUGAUUUAUUAUAUGGGUGUGCAAUUUUAUGGCAGAAAUUAAAAGUAUAACCAAGAAUUUGCUAUUUCUUUCUUCAUGUAAGUUAUAUAUUAACAUUGUUGAUUUUCCCUUUUGAGUACCCAACCUCUCCACUAGGAAAAGAACAUCAAGAUCUAGUUUCUUUUUUGUUUUUGUUUUUUUGGUUUACUCAUUUUUAUUUGCUUGGAAAGAACAUACAAUUAUGUUUCCACGGUUGGUCUAAUUGAAAUCUGCCUAUGUUCUACUAAUUGUUUGGGGAAAUCUGCUGUGUAUGGCAAUGCUGACAAGAGAGCAAACAUAUCUGGAGGGACAAGGCCUCCAACAAUAUCUGCACUACUCAGGUAGAACACCCUGUGACUGAGUGGAUAGCUGAAAUAAAUCUGCCAGCAGUACAGGUUGCAGUGGGAAACGGGGAUUCCUCUCUGGCAAAUUCCUGGUUUCUAGAUCUAUAGGUGAUGUGUAUAUGAAAGAUGUCCAGUUCAACAGGGAACCACUCAAUGCGAAGUACAGACUUUCUGAUCUUAAGAAGAUUGACAAGAAGGUCCGACGCCAUUUUCAUGACGAUAUAGCUGUGCGUGUAACAAGUGAGGAUCCAGAUGAUGGUUUUAAGCCUACUAGUGGGAAAGUACAGUCAUUGGAAUUUUUACAGGAGCUGAGUUUUAAAAGCAAGCCAAAUGUGUGGGCAUACUUUUCUGUUAAGUCUGAAGGAGGCAUUCAUGAAUUUUUAGAUUCUCAAUUUGGUCAUAUUUUUGCCUUUGGAGGGUCCUGAGCCCUAGCAAUACACCAUCGAUCUAUUACACACUGAUAUGGUGAGGGGUGGGCCAGGAAGCCAGAGUUUGCAGAUGAAUCAGUCAGAGAUCAGGGCAGAGAUACACACUCGUGAUGGAGGUUUAUUGUCUUGGCCUAAGUUCUGUAACAAAUGUAAGGAAUUGAAGUGGAUGCAUCUACUGACAUUGCACGUCAGCAAUAUAAAUACUAUACUACUGUAGCACGUAGCAAUAUGAAUUGAAUUGUUUUUUUUUGGAUAUAUUCCGUGUCUAAUUUAGUCGAUGAUGGUUGAUUGUUGAUUGUUGCACGUGGAUUGUUUUUUUGGGAUAUAUUGUGUGUAGUAAACAUCUCAAGAAAUGUGCAAUUAAUUUGGUUCAUAGA